This is a long non-coding RNA of Trifolium pratense (red clover), 5318 nucleotides long. RefSeq lists it as uncharacterized. The transcript has 5 exons. NCBI's taxonomy places the organism in Eukaryota, Viridiplantae, Streptophyta, Magnoliopsida, Fabales, Fabaceae. The record is from RefSeq and is a predicted model, not a curated record.
AGAAGAAAUUUUAAUUAGAGAUAUUUGUGGAACUAAUUUAAGAGAAGAUUUAGUAACCCACUUCAAAAGGUAGUAGAGGAAUUAAUUAUUGAGGCCACACUAACUCUGAUGGGACCCACAUUUUAGUAAGACCAAACUCACCUAAUAUCAAAUACUUAUUUACACCAUAUAUUGAAAAGUCAGAAAAGCAAACACAUAGCCCUCUCUUCUCUCUCUCACGCCCAAAUCUCACAUUUUCACCAUAACCACAUAUUCCAAACCUUCUUUAUCAACUACCUCUCAGAAACCAGAUGCAUGCAAGAUCGAAAACCUCAAACCCGUUGUCAGUAGAUCACUAUAAAUAUGAGUUUAAGCUUUGAAUCUUCUCCUCAUUCUUCCAUGGCCGAAAAUGCACCUUCCAUGGCCAAAUCUUGUUUUCUCAAAUCGAAGCUCUGGGGUACGAAAUUCUGAUAGUUUGGGACCUGUAAAUGUUGAAGAAUCAAAGAUUAAGUCUUGGGUGCUUAGAAAUUGAGAUAUAGUUAGUGAUUCACACUCUUCCUUUCAUUAUUGAGAUUUAAUCCCAAAACUCAAUCCUUAUUUCUUCCUUAUGAUGCUGCAUGUGUGUUUAUGCUCUUAUGGAGGACUUGAAAUGUUGUAAGAAACAUGAAUCAGAGGCUGGAGUUGUAGCCAUAAGAAACGAGCUGGUUUCUCGCCAGCAAGAAUAAGCAGAUUUCUCUGCCUGUAUGUGUUGUUAUCCCUUUCCUGUCCAGCUAUUCUUGGUCAUUGGGUAAGGAAACUCAAACUCUUUUCCUUUCCUUCAGAAUCAGUACAUUCUUGAUGUUAGAAAUUAUCAUUAAUUCCAUUUUUUGGUAAUUCCAUGUGGUUUAUAUGGGGUAAGAGACUUGAUUAAAUGGUUGGAGCUUGGCUUUGAAGAAAAAGUGGAAGUUGUGAAGCUGACGAAAUUCCCGUCGUCUAGAUGCCAAUUUCGUAGAAUUUGGAUGAAUAUUGAGGUCUAGAGACCAGUUUGAAGUUGAAGGUCUGAUAUGGAGAUUAUGCAGAAAAAUUAGGAUGCGGGUUUAAAGUACUUUGGCUGAAAAUUCUGCAUUAAGGCGAGCUCCGUAGAUAUCGGUGGUACUGUUCAAGUGUCUAUCUCAGAUAACCAGGUUAAUCGCGAUGUCGUGGUCAGCAAGCAUGAAGACCCAGAUACGUGGAGUACGAUUUGGAGCCGAUGUUAUGUUUAUCUUAUAUCUUGUAUAAGAUUCAGAUUAUUUAUGUUUAGUUGUUGGCUCAAAUUUGUAUUCACUUCUUGGAUUUUGUAAUCCUAUUCAUGUGUUUGAUCUUUAUGUAAUGAGAAUUUAAUGUUUUCCGAUUCAAUUAUGUACACAGUUGUCGAUAUUCUAGAUAAAUUGACAUGGGGUGUUAUAAUUGGUAUCAGAGCAGGUCGAUUCAGUAUCGGACCUUGCCGUGGAUCAUUAAAAUUCAAUCCUAAGUAGUACGGAUCCUUUUGAGUCUGAACUGUUCACGCUGAAAUCAUCGCGUGCUGAGCCUGAUCAACUCAGUAUUGUGUAUGGUAGGCAGGGUAUUACGGUUGAGAACCAAAGUGGACCAAGGAGGUCGAGUAGUAAGAACCCAGUAGGAGCGCGAACUCGGAAGGAAGUAUGAACAAAUAUCGGUAGAAUUCAAUAUUUGAACUGCAACAGUCGACGCCACAAGAGUAAGUUGGGUAACGCAAACAAGUGGCACGUAGAAUUGGGAAUAAUACGUGGCGUAGUGUCAGUAGUGAGAGGCAUAUCAGGAAAUGCACGAAUCGGAUGUACUCAAUUGACGGUGAUGUGCGUAAGAAUUCAGAGGACACUAGGGAACAGGAAAACCCCGGUAUCAGCAUGACCGUUGACUGGAGUAGGAUGCAUGGACAAUUGUAGUAAGUCUAAUGAAAUUAUGAGAACGGAACGCAGUGUAGAUUGAAGUGUUGUACGCCAGUAAUAACCAACCGACACAGACGCGCUGUGUGAACCUAGAAGUAAUCACCCAAUUUUGUGAACCUAAUUACCAGAAGCACGUUAAUUCAAAUAAGACUUAACUGAAGUCAGUGAACCAAAACUUUUCCCCAAAUCUGUUUGACCUUCAUUUCAGCCUAGUAGUUGUCCCUAGCGACGUAAGUCAAUUAGCUACACUAUCAGCGAAAGACAAACUAGACUUCACACAUUUCUUUAAAUCCUAAUGUCAACCUAUUGUACCAUUCUUGUAGGAUGAAAACACCAAACGUUCCCAGCAAGAUGAAUUCAGCCACUCAGUUGGUAACUAGUGUAUUCAAGCCAAACCAGUAGCAGUUAAGUCUCGUUUAGAAUAACAAUUAGAGUUUAAUUUUGAUGCAAUCAAUCACCUAAGCAGACAUAUUAAAUGUCAUUUCCAUUUGCUUCAGGAACAAGUAACGCAAUUCGGUACUACCUUCAGUAAGUUGCCAAAUAAUUUCCCGUAUUCGAACCUAUCAGCCAAUAACCCAAAGGACUAAGUUAAACCGUUUUCGGAGUGUUGUCAGUUAAAUUCAGCUAAAUUCAUCGAAUCAAUGUGAUGCUUGAUUCAUAACCAGUAAGCCUUAUUAUGUUAUGAACAUUAAAGUUUCCGAGCCUAUCUAAUGUUGAAAACUUUCUAAAUUCCUUAAUAUCAGCGAAUUGGAUUCACAAUUAGAGUGUUACCUUAUGUAACUCUGAAGAAAUGUCUUCAACUUUGUAACUUCAUUAUCAGUAAUCAGUUCGGGCCUAGGUAAGUUUGAAUUUCUUCUUAAGAGUAAUAAGUUGUGAUCCUUUAAGAACUAUCAGUUAUUCAUGUCGAUCUUCAAAACAGUAACAUUAUGUUUCCCAUCAAGAGAUUCUCCGAUCUUUCGUUUCAUUACUGAUGACCAGUUCAAAACCAAAGAAGUCUAAGUUAACCAUUAAGGGUCAUGAGUAAUUUCAGCUUAAGUUCUCACGUGUCUUGUUAACCUGUUAAACAACAUCGUAAGGUACCUCGAACGUUGGAAACGUUAAUGCAAUCAAACUCAAAAAUGAGGAGAGUAUCAGUAGGAAAUAACUGUAAGAGAUAAGAAGUAAGGAGUUACAUAUAUGUUAGAUGGUAGUAAAGUAGUAUAUAUAGUGGUGCGUCUAACGUCACGAAAUGAUGUGAGAUUUAUUUUGUGAUGCCAUAUGGUAGAAGAAGUAAUAAAAAUAUGAGAAAACGUCGGGUAAGAUGAAACGAAAUGUGACAGUGUUUGGGAAGUUGUAAACUAAGGUCGUAAUGACGUAGUCAGAAGAUGACAAUAUGUAAUAGAGAUCAGAGUGCGCAGCAAGUAUUGGUUGAUAAUGUAGUCAGCAGGUUGGUCUUUAGGCCAAAACCCUUUGAGAAGAGGAAAGUUUUAUUCUAAGAAAAUUGACGUGAAUGACGUAAAACGAUUGACGAAUGUGAGACGAGUAAAUUAUGCAUACCUUCACACUUAAAACUUGUAUUGUUGGUAAUGGAGUACCCGUGAGAACAAAGAUUGUGAAAGGAAAGCGGUUCAACUAAGAAGGUUUGACGUAGUGAACCAGUAAGAUUAGAUAUGCUCGGUGUUGAAUUGAAGGGUGCAGAAAAUGGGAAUAUUGCACCAUGAGCGGUUGUAUCGAUGAAAAUAACAAAAAAAAAAAAGAGAGCUAAUAUAAGAUUAGCGUGCACCUAAAAGUUGUAUUAUGGGCCGAGAUUAUGAGUUCGAUGUUAUGAAAUGAACGAGUUAAGAUUUCCAUAAAUAAAAUAACCAAGUGCUAAUGCUACGAAGAGUGAUGAUUAAUGACCUUGAACAAUAGAUCAUGACUGUUUGGAAACGAAGUCUAGAAUUUGGACGAGGAUGUAUACAAUUUACUUUGGUAAUGAAUGAAGAAGUAAUUGAAUUUCGCGGACGAAAUUCUUUUAAGGGGGAUAGAUUGUAACAUCCCGAUUUUAAUUAGUAGAAGAAAUUUUAAUUAGAGAUAUUUGUGGAACUAAUUUAAGAGAAGAUUUAGUAACCCACUUCAAAAGGUAGUAGAGGAAUUAAUUAUUGAGGCCACACUAACUCUGAUGGGACCCACAUUUUAGUAAGACCAAACUCACCUAAUAUCAAAUACUUAUUUACACCAUAUAUUGAAAAGUCAGAAAAGCAAACACAUAGCCCUCUCUUCUCUCUCUCACGCCCAAAUCUCACAUUUUCACCAUAACCACAUAUUCCAAACCUUCUUUAUCAACUACCUCUCAGAAACCAGAUGCAUGCAAGAUCGAAAACCUCAAACCCGUUGUCAGUAGAUCACUAUAAAUAUGAGUUUAAGCUUUGAAUCUUCUCCUCAUUCUUCCAUGGCCGAAAAUGCACCUUCCAUGGCCAAAUCUUGUUUUCUCAAAUCGAAGCUCUGGGGUACGAAAUUCUGAUAGUUUGGGACCUGUAAAUGUUGAAGAAUCAAAGAUUAAGUCUUGGGUGCUUAGAAAUUGAGAUAUAGUUAGUGAUUCACACUCUUCCUUUCAUUAUUGAGAUUUAAUCCCAAAACUCAAUCCUUAUUUCUUCCUUAUGAUGCUGCAUGUGUGUUUAUGCUCUUAUGGAGGACUUGAAAUGUUGUAAGAAACAUGAAUCAGAGGCUGGAGUUGUAGCCAUAAGAAACGAGCUGGUUUCUCGCCAGCAAGAAUAAGCAGAUUUCUCUGCCUGUAUGUGUUGUUAUCCCUUUCCUGUCCAGCUAUUCUUGGUCAUUGGGUAAGGAAACUCAAACUCUUUUCCUUUCCUUCAGAAUCAGUACAUUCUUGAUGUUAGAAAUUAUCAUUAAUUCCAUUUUUUGGUAAUUCCAUGUGGUUUAUAUGGGGUAAGAGACUUGAUUAAAUGGUUGGAGCUUGGCUUUGAAGAAAAAGUGGAAGUUGUGAAGUUUCAAAUGGUGUUUACAUGUAUGGAAAGCUGACGAAAUUCCCGUCGUCUAGAUGCCAAUUUCGUAGAAUUUGGAUGAAUAUUGAGGUCUAGAGACCAGUUUGAAGUUGAAGGUCUGAUAUGGAGAUUAUGCAGAAAAAUUAGGAUGCGGGUUUAAAGUACUUUGGCUGAAAAUUCUGCAUUAAGGCGAGCUCCGUAGAUAUCGGUGGUACUGUUCAAGUGUCUAUCUCAGAUAACCAGGUUAAUCGCGAUGUCGUGGUCAGCAAGCAUGAAGACCCAGAUACGUGGAGUACGAUUUGGAGCCGAUGUUAUGUUUAUCUUAUAUCUUGUAUAAGAUUCAGAUUAUUUAUGUUUAGUUGUUGGCUCAAAUUUGUAUUCACUUCUUGGAUUUUGUAAUCCUAUUCAUGUGUUUGAUCUUUAUGUAAUGAGAAUUUAAUGUUUUCCGAUUCAA